AGCGGAGGUAGGUCCAGUGGAGGUGGAUAUCUAAAUGUCUGUGUUUGUAGCCAGCACUUUCAGCCGGAGGAUUUCGAUAUGGACCUGAAGUCUCAGCUGAUGAGGUUGCCAGUGCAUCGAACGUUUUAAAGUGAUGCUAUUCUAUUGAAUUUCCCCUUCACGUCAAAGAGGAAAGGUAUCCGAUCAGCCAACAUCAGCACAGCAGAAAAUAAGUCGAACUGAGAUAACGUAGCUAACUACGUUUGUUUAUCUAAACCAAAAUCUAACUACCUAGCUCUUAUAAUAUAGCUAACUACGUUUGUUUAUCUAAACCAAAAUCUAACUAGCUAGCUCUUAUAAUACGCUGGCUAGACAUUCCAACGCAAAUCAAUGUAAUUAGCUAGCAGCUAUCUGGCAAAGUGAUUUGUAACUUUGCAAGCUAACAUUGGCUACAUUAGAUUACGUAGCUACAGCCCAGGAUCGUAGAUAGCUAGCUAACUAAUUGACUAACUAACAGCACCGUAGAGGCUAACGUGACUAUGUGUUCGAUCCCAUCAAUAUCUGCAGCGGCAUCAACAUCAAGCUCAGCACCAGGAACUAGUGAGACGUGCAGUACAAACACAUCUUCUGUAAGAGGUCGACGCAGUGGGUGG
This is a long non-coding RNA of Oncorhynchus tshawytscha (Chinook salmon), 632 nucleotides long. RefSeq lists it as uncharacterized. The transcript has 2 exons. The record is from RefSeq and is a predicted model, not a curated record. Lineage: Eukaryota; Metazoa; Chordata; Actinopteri; Salmoniformes; Salmonidae.